This 164-nucleotide unclassified non-coding RNA is filed under the name uncultured fungus. RNAcentral's name for it is "sequence contains ITS1, 5.8S rRNA gene". The record is from RNAcentral. Lineage: Eukaryota; Fungi.
ACGAGUUGCGAGACUCCAAACCACCGCGAACCUACCGCUACGUUGCCUCGGCGGGCGGCUCCAGGGCGGAGCCUGCCGCCCCCCGCGGGGGGGGUGCCCGCCGCCGGCCCCGAAGACCCUGUCGCAUCGAAGGCCCCUCUGAGUUACUGCGCGAGCAGACGUCA